This 376-nucleotide ribosomal RNA is filed under the name uncultured bacterium. Its description in RNAcentral is "partial 16S ribosomal RNA". It matches the Rfam family "Bacterial small subunit ribosomal RNA", at positions 355 to 723 of the family's 1533-position model. The record is from RNAcentral.
UGGGGAAUAUUGCACAAUGGGCGCAAGCCUGAUGCAGCCAUGCCGCGUGUAUGAAGAAGGCCUUCGGGUUGUAAAGUACUUUCAGCGAGGAGGAAGGCGGUAAGGUUAAUAACCUUAUCGAUUGACGUUACUCGCAGAAGAAGCACCGGCUAACUCCGUGCCAGCAGCCGCGGUAAUACGGAGGGUGCAAGCGUUAAUCGGAAUUACUGGGCGUAAAGCGCACGCAGGCGGUCUGUCAAGUCGGAUGUGAAAUCCCCGGGCUCAACCUGGGAACUGCAUUCGAAACUGGCAGGCUAGAGUCUUGUAGAGGGGGGUAGAAUUCCAGGUGUAGCGGUGAAAUGCGUAGAGAUCUGGAGGAAUACCGGUGGCGAAGGCG